UUCCUUUAGAAAAUAUUUAAAGGUAAUACCUGCUCAAUGUUAAUUUUAUUAAAUGGCUGCGGUAUCUUAACUGCACUAAGGUAGCAUAAUUAAUUGUCUUUUAAAUGGUGACUUGUUUGAAUGGUUUUAUGGGAAAAAGAUUUUCUUAAAAUUAAUUAGAAUUUAUAAUUCAAGGUUAAAAUACCUGAAUUGAUAAGAAAGACGAGAAGACCCUGUUGAGUUUAAUAAUUAUAUUUUUUUUAUUUGAAUGGGAAAUUUAAUUUCUAUUUGAAAUUUUUAUGAUCCUAAAUAUUAAAUUAUUUGGAAGAAGGAUAAAAUUACCACAGGGAUAACAGGACUAUAUUUAUUGAGAGUUCUUAUCGAAAUAAAUGUUUGUUACCUCGAUGUUGAAUCGAAAUACUCUUUUUGGUGCAGUAGUCAAAAAAGUGGGUCUGUUCGACCUUUAAAAUUU
Molecule: ribosomal RNA, 451 nt
Filed under: Latocestus plehni
Lineage: Eukaryota; Metazoa; Platyhelminthes; Polycladida; Latocestidae
Description: partial large subunit ribosomal RNA
Rfam family: Bacterial large subunit ribosomal RNA
Source: RNAcentral